GAGGGUGAUGGUGUAAUUGGCAGCACAGCGCCGAGGAGGCGCCGGUGUCGGUUCGAAUCCGGCUCAUCCGCGC
RNAcentral lists this transfer RNA (73 nucleotides) under Streptomyces phage Zeigle. RNAcentral describes it as "tRNA-Pro". It matches the Rfam family "tRNA". From Rfam's summary of the family: Transfer RNA (tRNA) molecules are approximately 80 nucleotides in length. The record is from RNAcentral. RNAcentral also lists the same sequence under 2 other names. Lineage: Duplodnaviria; Heunggongvirae; Uroviricota; Caudoviricetes.